This 698-nucleotide ribosomal RNA is filed under the name Bacillus sp. (in: firmicutes). RNAcentral describes it as "bacterial SSU rRNA". It matches the Rfam family "Bacterial small subunit ribosomal RNA", at positions 79 to 761 of the family's 1533-position model. Lineage: Bacteria; Bacillati; Bacillota; Bacilli; Caryophanales; Bacillaceae. The record is from RNAcentral.
UGCUUCUAUGACGUUAGCGGCGGACGGGUGAGUAACACGUGGGCAACCUGCCUGUAAGACUGGGAUAACUUCGGGAAACCGAAGCUAAUACCGGAUAGGAUCUUCUCCUUCAUGGGAGAUGAUUGAAAGAUGGUUUCGGCUAUCACUUACAGAUGGGCCCGCGGUGCAUUAGCUAGUUGGUGAGGUAACGGCUCACCAAGGCGAACGAUGCAUAGCCGACCUGAGAGGGUGAUCGGCCACACUGGGACUGAGACACGGCCCAGACUCCUACGGGAGGCAGCAGUAGGGAAUCUUCCGCAAUGGACGAAAGUCUGACGGAGCAACGCCGCGUGAGUGAUGAAGGCUUUCGGGUCGUAAAACUCUGUUGUUAGGGAAGAACAAGUACAAGAGUAACUGCUCGUACCUUGACGGUACCUAACCAGAAAGCCACGGCUAACUACGUGCCAGCAGCCGCGGUAAUACGUAGGUGGCAAGCGUUAUCCGGAAUUAUUGGGCGUAAAGCGCGCGCAGGCGGUUUCUUAAGUCUGAUGUGAAAGCCCACGGCUCAACCGUGGAGGGUCAUUGGAAACUGGGGAACUUGAGUGCAGAAGAGAAAAGCGGAAUUCCACGUGUAGCGGUGAAAUGCGUAGAGAUGUGGAGGAACACCAGUGGCGAAGGCGGCUUUUUUGGUCUGUAACUGACGCUGAGGCGCGAAAGCG